CUUUGAUUCCAUCUGGAUCAUCCUCAACUGUCCCUGCUUUCCUCUAGUCUUCACAUCGGGUUCAUCCAUCAUCAUCAUCAUCUGUAAAUUAUCACUCUUUCUCCAAAGGAUUUGGCUAAGUCCCCCUACUCUCCCAAGCUGGAUGGUCACACUUACUGUGCUCAGAUAAUCAAGUUAAGCAACCUUUGGAUCUGGCUCUUAUCUUUGUUGGUUCAGAGGUGAGUUUUCUUACCUUCAAAGGCUGAAAAAUCCACCAUCAUCAACCGUUGUGAGGACCUUUCAUCAAUAUUUUCAGCAGUUGGUUUCUUUGUUGAUAUUAACUUAAGGCAAAUAAGGAGAGAGAUGCUAAACUUUCUAAAAAGAGUGUUAUGGUAGAAAAUGUUAAAAGGCACCGGUGGUACUUAAGUUAAUACCUUUCAAUAUGUAAUAUCGUUAUUGAUGCAAUUAAGUAUUGAAUCUUAUAUAAUUUAAUGUAAUAAUUUUUAUAAAAAACCGUUAACUAAUUACAACACGUUAUCUCUAAGUGAUACUAGACACUACAAGUGUCUGAUUAUAAUUAUCUUUUAUUCUUUUAUGCCCUUUAACGUUU
Cannabis sativa is the source of this 589-nucleotide long non-coding RNA. RefSeq lists it as uncharacterized. NCBI's taxonomy places the organism in Eukaryota, Viridiplantae, Streptophyta, Magnoliopsida, Rosales, Cannabaceae. The transcript has 5 exons. The record is from RefSeq and is a predicted model, not a curated record.